AUUGAACGCUGGCGGCAGGCCUAACACAUGCAAGUCGAGCGGAGCGGCGGACGGGUGCGUAAUGCCUAGGUAUCUGCCUGGUCGUGGGGGCUAACGUUCGGAAACGGGCGCUAAUACCGCAUACUAUCAGAUGAGCCUAGGUCGGAUUAGCUAGUUGUUGGGGUAAAGGCCUACCAAGGCGACGACCCGUAGCUGUUCUGAGAGGAUGAUCAGUCACACUGGAACUGAGACACGGUCCAGACGCCUACGGGAGGCAGCAGUGGGGAAUAGUGGACAAUGGGCGAAAGCCUGAUCCAGCCAUGCCGCGUGUGUGAAGAAGGUCUUCGGAGUGUAAAGCACUUUAAGUUGGGAGGCGUUACCAGCAGAAUAAGCACCGGCUAACUUCGUGCCAGCAGCCGCGGUAAUAC
This 407-nucleotide ribosomal RNA is filed under the name uncultured bacterium. RNAcentral describes it as "partial 16S ribosomal RNA". It matches the Rfam family "Bacterial small subunit ribosomal RNA", at positions 30 to 526 of the family's 1533-position model. The record is from RNAcentral.